AACCAUCUCUUGACCCUAAAAUUCUCUGUACACCAUUUUUUGUAUGCAGGAGCCAUCUCAACGGGUUUUUGGAAUAGCACGGGUUAGGUACCCCAAUUUCUCUCUUGUAGCAAUUCGCAUCUCUACGACUUGAGACCAUAGUGUAUAGUUGGUAUCAUUUAGAACAAUUCUAGUAGGAAACAAAGAGUUGUGACUCUGAAUUGUGAAAUUUAGAGGUUGGAAUUGGAAGAUCCUCCAGUGAGCGAGAGAGGUUAAAUGUUGUCUGGAAUUGUAGCAGAAAUAUAUGAGAUUU
RNAcentral lists this long non-coding RNA (292 nucleotides) under Prunus persica (peach). RNAcentral describes it as "long non-coding RNA (PPER_LNC005386)". Lineage: Eukaryota; Viridiplantae; Streptophyta; Magnoliopsida; Rosales; Rosaceae. The record is from RNAcentral.